CCUACGGGAGGCAGCAGUAGGGAAUAUUGCUCAAUGGGCGAAACCCUGAAGCAGCAACGCCGCGUGGAGGAUGAAGGUUUUCGGAUUGUAAACUCCUUUUGUUAGAGAAGAUAAUGACGGUAUCUAACGAAUAAGCACCGGCUAACUCCGUGCCAGCAGCCGCGGUCAUACGGAGGGUGCAAGCGUUACUCGGAAUCACUGGGCGUAAAGAGCGCGUAGGCGGGAUAGCAAGUCAGAUGUGAAAUCCUAUGGCUUAACCAUAGAACUGCAUUUGAAAAUGUUAUGCUAGAGUAUGGGAGAGGUAGGUGGAAUUCUUGGUGUAGGGGUAAAAUCCGUAGAGAUCAAGAGGAAUACUCAUUGCGAAGGCGACCUGCUAGAACAUAACUGACGCUGAUGCGCGAAAGCGUGGGGAGCAAACAGGAUUAGAUACCCUAGUAGUC
RNAcentral lists this ribosomal RNA (440 nucleotides) under uncultured bacterium. Its description in RNAcentral is "partial 16S ribosomal RNA". It matches the Rfam family "Bacterial small subunit ribosomal RNA", at positions 338 to 795 of the family's 1533-position model. The record is from RNAcentral.